This 1095-nucleotide ribosomal RNA is filed under the name Triticum aestivum (bread wheat). RNAcentral's name for it is "partial small subunit ribosomal RNA". Lineage: Eukaryota; Viridiplantae; Streptophyta; Magnoliopsida; Poales; Poaceae. The record is from RNAcentral.
AUGAUAAGGUGGGGGGACGUGUACAAGGUGGUGGCCGCCAUGGCGCCAAUCUACUUCGCCCUGGGACUCGGGUACGGCUCCGUGCGGUGGUGGAAGCUCUUCACGCCGGACCAGUGUGACGCUGUGAACCGCCUCGUGGCCUACUUCGCGGUUCCUUUCUUCGCGCUCGACUUCGCCGCGCGCAUGGACCCAUACGCGCUCAACUACCGCGUCCUCGCCGCCGACGCGCUCUCCAAGCUCGCCGUCGCGCUGGCUCUCGCAGCCUGGGCCGCCGCGUCCACUCACUGCUGCCGCGGUGGCGGCAAGCGCGGCGGGGAACUGGCCUCAUCGUGGUGCAUCACCGGCUUCUCGCUGGCGACGCUGACCAACACGCUCGUCGUGGGCGUGCCGCUGCUGGACGCCAUGUACGGCGGGUGGGCGCGCGACCUCGUCGUGCAAAUAUCGGUGGUGCAGAUCAUCGUCUACUUCCCGCUCCUCCUGUUGGCAUUCGAGGCGAGGCGUGCCUGGGGUGGUGGCCCCGGGAAGCCGGGCGCCGAAGCGGCUUUAGCGAGCGACGGCGACGUAGAGGACGGCGGCGCGGAGGAUUCGAGGCAGCGCCAGCCGGUGUGGCCGUUGGUGAGAGCGGUGUGGCUCAAGGUGGCGCGGAAUCCCAACGUGUACGCGGGCAUGCUUGGCGUCGCGUGGUCGUGCAUCACAAACAGGUGGCACAUCGAGACGCCAAGCAUCAUCGAGGGCUCCGUGCUGAUCAUGUCCAGGACCGGGCUUGGACUCUGCAUGUUUAGCAUGGGCCAGUUCAUGGCGCUUCAGGAGAGGGUCGUCGCAUGCGGGGCCCAACUGACCGCCGUGGGCAUGGCGCUGCGGUUCCUUGUCGGCCCGGCCGCCACGGCUGCCGGAGCCGUCGCUCUGGGGCUCCAUGGAGACGUCCUGCGUGUUACCAUCAUUCAGGCUGCACUUCCUCAAGCCAUUACCACGUUCGUGUUCGCGAGGGAGUAUGGCCUACACGCUGAUGUACUCAGCACCGCGGUUAUAUUCGGGACGUUGAUGUCGCUGCCCGUGUUAAUCGUAUACUACAUCGCUCUGCCCUUCAUAGAAUAA